RNAcentral lists this ribosomal RNA (503 nucleotides) under Ferrimonas sp. 3T4,1 13. Its description in RNAcentral is "bacterial SSU rRNA". It matches the Rfam family "Bacterial small subunit ribosomal RNA", at positions 380 to 877 of the family's 1533-position model. Lineage: Bacteria; Pseudomonadati; Pseudomonadota; Gammaproteobacteria; Alteromonadales; Ferrimonadaceae. The record is from RNAcentral.
AGCCUGAUGCAGCCAUGCCGCGUGUGUGAAGAAGGCCUUCGGGUUGUAAAGCACUUUCAGCGAGGAGGAAAGGUUGUUGGUUAAUACCCGUCAGCUGUGACGUUACUCGCAGAAGAAGCACCGGCUAACUCCGUGCCAGCAGCCGCGGUAAUACGGAGGGUGCGAGCGUUAAUCGGAAUUACUGGGCGUAAAGCGCAUGCAGGCGGCCAAGUCAGUCAGAUGUGAAAGCCCCGGGCUCAACCUGGGAAUUGCAUUUGAUACUGCUUGGCUAGAGUCCUUGAGAGGGGGGUAGAAUUUCAGGUGUAGCGGUGAAAUGCGUAGAGAUCUGAAGGAAUACCAGUGGCGAAGGCGGCCCCCUGGCAAGAGACUGACGCUCAGAUGCGAAAGCGUGGGGAGCAAACAGGAUUAGAUACCCUGGUAGUCCACGCCGUAAACGAUGUCUAUUAGGGUCUGUAGCCUUGAGCUGUGGGUUCCAAAGCUAACGCAUAAAUAGACCGCCUGGG